AACCUUAUGGACCUGCGGGCGUAUACCUGCGGAAGGAUCAUUACUGAGUCACGUGCUCAAACAACCCUUCUGUGGACCUGAAAUAAAACCGUUGCCUCGGCGGGCGGUCCCCCCCAGGCCAACCCCACGUGGUGGGUUAGGGGAGACCAGACAGUCCGGUACGCUUAAAGGCGUCCGGCGCCAGCCGCUGGCCCCAAACAAUUAAACUCUAGUAACCUUUACCUUCUGAGUUUCAAUAUU
This 240-nucleotide unclassified non-coding RNA is filed under the name soil metagenome. RNAcentral describes it as "partial contains 5.8S ribosomal RNA, internal transcribed spacer 2, and large subunit ribosomal RNA". The record is from RNAcentral.